AACUAUUCUGUGCUAGGGCAUUAACAGCCAUUUAUAUCUCAUCUUUCUCAUAGCAAUUUUAUUUUAACAAUCACAUUCAAUGUGUUUCCUUACAGGGGAAUACAGUGUGGGAUCUUAGAAGCCCACAGAAGGCCAGUUUAGCAGAUAUUUGAGGUACAGACAACCACUAAUCAUGGUUUCUGAGCGACCACUAUUAAUGCAGAAAAACAAUAGUGAAUGACAUAAGGAGAUAUUGUUCCAAGUUCUGGAAUGUGUUACAGGACGGCAGGAAAUGUUUGAGCUGGGACCACCAAGCACACAUGCUGAUGCAUACAUUGUGGCCUCAUGGAAUGUGAACAGACUGGGCUGCUGCUGCAAUGAUCAGUUCUGCUAGCUCCAUGAAACUUCCUGCCAGUACCACCUGAGCAACUGAUUUCAAGUCUCUCCCCUCCCACCAAGGAGUGUCUUUGUUGGCACCAUGUGGGAAGCCAUAGGAACCCUCUCAGCUUGCAGUCUAGGCAUGCAUACUCCAAAAGGUCAAGGCAGUUAACAACUCAAGGGGUGAACUAUGACCAUUGAAAGACAGAAAUAAGUAGAAAGUUCUUCCUCCUCUUUGGCCCCAGAGAAAAGGUCCUGAAAUACAUCUUCAUAAAAUAGAGCAACCGGUUGCUUACAGCAGUGGCCAGCUGGUAAUGCUUCC
RNAcentral lists this long non-coding RNA (679 nucleotides) under Macaca mulatta (Rhesus monkey). RNAcentral's name for it is "lncRNA (ENSMMUG00000056890.1)". Lineage: Eukaryota; Metazoa; Chordata; Mammalia; Primates; Cercopithecidae. The record is from RNAcentral.